AGACGAACGCUGGCGGCGUGCUUAACACAUGCAAGUCGAACGGUGAACCACUUCGGUGGGGAUCAGUGGCGAACGGGUGAGUAACACGUGGGCAACCUGCCCCUGGCUCUGGGAUAACUCCAAGAAAUUGGGGCUAAUACCGGAUAUGACCGCUGRUCGCAUGGUCUGGUGGUGGAAAGAUUUAUCGGCUGGGGAUGGGCCCGCGGCCUAUCAGCUUGUUGGUGGGGUAGUGGCCUACCAAGGCGACGACGGGUAGCCGGCCUGAGAGGGUGACCGGCCACACUGGGACUGAGACACGGCCCAGACUCCUACGGGAGGCAGCAGUGGGGAAUAUUGCGCAAUGGGCGGAAGCCUGACGCAGCGACGCCGCGUGGGGGAUGACGGCCUUCGGGUUGUAAACCUCUUUCAGCAGGGACGAAGCGAGAGUGACGGUACCUGCAGAAGAAGCACCGGCCAACUACGUGCCAGCAGCCGCGGUAAUACGUAGGGUGCAAGCGUUGUCCGGAAUUAUUGGGCGUAAAGAGCUCGUAGGCGGUUCGUCGCGUCGGCUGUGAAAACCUGAGGCUCAACCUCAGGCCUGCAGUCGAUACGGGCGGACUUGAGUUCGGCAGGGGAGACUGGAAUUCCUGGUGUAGCGGUGAAAUGCGCAGAUAUCAGGAGGAACACCGGUGGCGAAGGCGGGUCUCUGGGCCGAAACUGACGCUGAGGAGCGAAAGCGUGGGGAGCGAACAGGAUUAGAUCC
RNAcentral lists this ribosomal RNA (742 nucleotides) under Blastococcus sp. RNAcentral describes it as "bacterial SSU rRNA". Lineage: Bacteria; Bacillati; Actinomycetota; Actinomycetes; Geodermatophilales; Geodermatophilaceae. The record is from RNAcentral.